AGCUCUCGCUAUUAGAUGAGCCUAAGUCGGAUUAGCUGGUUGGUGGGGUAAAGGCCUACCAAGGCGACGAUCUGUAGCUGGUCUGAGAGGAUGAUCAGCCACACUGGGACUGAGACACGGCCCAGACUCCUACGGGAGGCAGCAGUGGGGAAUAUUGGACAAUGGGCGAAAGCCUGAUCCAGCCAUGCCGCGUGUGUGAAGAAGGCCUUUGGUUGUAAAGCACUUUAAGUGGGGAGGAAAAGCUUAUGGUUAAUACCCAUAAGCCCUGACGUUACCCACAGAAUAAGCACCGGCUAACUCUGUGCCAGCAGCCGCGGUAAUACAGAGGGUGCAAGCGUUAAUCGGAAUUACUGGGCGUAAAGCGCGCGUAGGUGGUUAUUUAAGUCAGAUGUGAAAGCCCCGGGCUUAACCUGGGAACUGCAUCUGAUACUGGAUAACUAGAGUAGGUGAGAGGGGAGUAGAAUUCCAGGUGUAGCGGUGAAAUGCGUAGAGAUCUGGAGGAAUACCGAUGGCGA
RNAcentral lists this ribosomal RNA (515 nucleotides) under Moraxella catarrhalis. RNAcentral describes it as "bacterial SSU rRNA". It matches the Rfam family "Bacterial small subunit ribosomal RNA", at positions 210 to 718 of the family's 1533-position model. Lineage: Bacteria; Pseudomonadati; Pseudomonadota; Gammaproteobacteria; Moraxellales; Moraxellaceae. The record is from RNAcentral.